RNAcentral lists this ribosomal RNA (354 nucleotides) under uncultured Nitrospinaceae bacterium. Its description in RNAcentral is "bacterial SSU rRNA". It matches the Rfam family "Bacterial small subunit ribosomal RNA", at positions 524 to 876 of the family's 1533-position model. Lineage: Bacteria; Pseudomonadati; Nitrospinota; Nitrospinia; Nitrospinales; Nitrospinaceae. The record is from RNAcentral.
UACGGAGGGGGCAAGCGUUGUUCGGAAUUAUUGGGCGUAAAGAGUAUGUAGGCGGCUAGAUAAGUCAGACGUGUAAGCCCAUGGCUCAACCAUGGAAUUGCGUUUGAAACUAUUUAGCUUGAGUGCAGGAGAGGAAAGCGGAAUUCCCAGUGUAGCGGUGAAAUGCAUUGAUAUUGGGAAGAACACCGGUGGCGAAGGCGGCUUUCUGGUCUGUUACUGACGCUGAGAUACGAAAGCCAGGGGAGCAAAGGGGAUUAGAUACCCCCGUAGUCCUGGCCGUAAACGAUGGGCACUAGGUGGAGGAGGUAUCGAUCCCUUCUCUGUCGUAGCUAACGCAUUAAGUGCCCCGCCUGG